ACACUCCUACGGGAGGCAGCAGUGGGGAAUAUUGGACAAUGGGCGCAAGCCUGAUCCAGCCAUGCCGCGUGAGUGAUGAAGGCCCUAGGGUUGUAAAGCUCUUUCACCGGUGAAGAUAAUGACGGUAACCGGAGAAGAAGCCCCGGCUAACUUCGUGCCAGCAGCCGCGGUAAUACGAAGGGGGCUAGCGUUGUUCGGAUUUACUGGGCGUAAAGCGCACGUAGGCGGACUAUUAAGUCAGGGGUGAAAUCCCGGGGCUCAACCCCGGAACUGCCUUUGAUACUGGUAGUCUUGAGUUCGAGAGAGGUGAGUGGAAUUCCGAGUGUAGAGGUGAAAUUCGUAGAUAUUCGGAGGAACACCAGUGGCGAAGGCGGCUCACUGGCUCGAUACUGACGCUGAGGUGCGAAAGCGUGGGAGCAAACAGGAUUAGAAACCCGAGUAGUCCCAUG
RNAcentral lists this ribosomal RNA (449 nucleotides) under uncultured organism. Its description in RNAcentral is "partial 16S ribosomal RNA". It matches the Rfam family "Bacterial small subunit ribosomal RNA", at positions 333 to 799 of the family's 1533-position model. The record is from RNAcentral.